RNAcentral lists this ribosomal RNA (253 nucleotides) under uncultured bacterium. RNAcentral describes it as "partial 16S ribosomal RNA". It matches the Rfam family "Bacterial small subunit ribosomal RNA", at positions 524 to 776 of the family's 1533-position model. The record is from RNAcentral.
UACAGAGGGUGCGAGCGUUAAUCGGAAUUACUGGGCGUAAAGCGUGCGUAGACGGUAGCGUAAGUCAGAUGUGAAAGCCCCGGGCUCAACCUGGGAACUGCAUUUGAGACUGCUCUGCUCGGGUGCGGAAGAGGGAAGCGGAAUUUCCGGUGUAGCGGUGAAAUGCGUAGAUAUCGGAAGGAACACCAGUGGCGAAAGCGGCUUCCUGGCCUGUAACUGACGCUGAGGCGCGAAAGCGUGGGGAGCAAACAGG